Molecule: ribosomal RNA, 253 nt
Filed under: uncultured bacterium
Lineage: Bacteria
Description: partial 16S ribosomal RNA
Rfam family: Bacterial small subunit ribosomal RNA
Source: RNAcentral
UACGUAGGGUGCGAGCGUUGUCCGGAAUUACUGGGCGUAAAGAGCUCGUAGGCGGUUUGUCGCGUCGACUGUGAAAACCCGAGGCUUAACCUCGGGCCUGCAGUCGAUACGGGCAGACUAGAGUUCGGUAGGGGAGACUGGAAUUCCUGGUGUAGCGGUGAAAUGCGCAGAUAUCAGGAAGAACACCAAUGGCGAAAGCAGCUCUCUGGGACGGUACUGACGCUGAGACGCGAAAGCGUGGGGAGCGAACAGG